Molecule: long non-coding RNA, 376 nt
Organism: Dreissena polymorpha
Lineage: Eukaryota; Metazoa; Mollusca; Bivalvia; Myida; Dreissenidae
Exons: 3
Source: RefSeq, a predicted model, not a curated record
GUAAAUAAAACGUUAUUAAAGUUUAAUUUUGAUAUAUUAUAUUUUUUCUGUUUUUCAGUUAACAUUUAGAGAAACACAUCUAAAGAUGGAUCUAUAGCUUUUUAGAUGUUGACAAAAGGAUCACCUCAACACAAAGCGUUUAAUCAUACUUCGAAGUGAUGCAAAUAGAGAACUGUAUGCAGGCAGUGGAACUUGUGUAGAGCUGUGACGGGUGCAACAGCAGACCAGUCCGGGUAAAUCACUGAUGGCAGAAUUGAGGAUCCCAAUAAUCAAACAACUCCUUUAAGAACAAGGUCUUCUUUAGAAAAUUUCAACUGGGAACUGCAAUGUUUCAUUUGUGGAGAAAAAUGUGAUCCAAAAAGGGACAGUAAUUCAA